Molecule: small nuclear RNA, 161 nt
Organism: Coregonus clupeaformis (lake whitefish)
Lineage: Eukaryota; Metazoa; Chordata; Actinopteri; Salmoniformes; Salmonidae
Product: U1 spliceosomal RNA
Exons: 1
Source: RefSeq, a predicted model, not a curated record
AUACUUACCCAGCAAGGGAGAUACCGUGAUCAAGAAGGCAGGAUGAGGGCGAGGCUCAGCCAUUGCACUCCGGCUGUGCUGACCCCUGCGAAUUCCCCAAAUGUAGGAAUCUCGACUGGACAAUUUCUGGUAGUGGGGGACUGUGUUCGUACACUCCCCUA